This 253-nucleotide ribosomal RNA is filed under the name uncultured bacterium. RNAcentral describes it as "partial 16S ribosomal RNA". It matches the Rfam family "Bacterial small subunit ribosomal RNA", at positions 524 to 776 of the family's 1533-position model. The record is from RNAcentral.
UACGUAGGGGGCAAGCGUUGUCCGGAAUCAUUGGGCGUAAAGAGCGUGUAGGCGGCUCGAUAAGUCUGCUGUGAAAGUCCAGGGCUCAACCCUGGAAGGCCGGUGGAAACUGUCGGGCUAGAGUUCGGAAGAGGCGAGUGGAAUUCCCGGUGUAGCGGUGAAAUGCGCAGAUAUCGGGAGGAACACCAAUGGCGAAAGCAGCUCUCUGGGACGGUACUGACGCUGAGACGCGAAAGCGUGGGGAGCGAACAGG